GAGAAUCAAAAGAAAUAGAUUCAGCCAGAGAAUCGAAAUGGAGGAGAUCUAGCCAGAAGAUCGAAGAAGAUCUAGCCAGAAGAUCAAAAUCGUAUCCAGCCCGAGGAUCAAAAUUAAUAUCCAACCAGAGGACUUAAUUGAGUAUAGGUUCAGCCAGAUGAUCGAAACUCCAAAUUAAGCCAGAGGAUCGGAAGAAAAAUAAAC
RNAcentral lists this long non-coding RNA (204 nucleotides) under Lathyrus oleraceus (garden pea). Its description in RNAcentral is "Pisum sativum (pea) long non-coding RNA (PSAT_LNC034093)". Lineage: Eukaryota; Viridiplantae; Streptophyta; Magnoliopsida; Fabales; Fabaceae. The record is from RNAcentral.